CCCUUAGAUGUUCUGGGCCGCACGCGCGCUACACUGAUGCAUUCAACGAGUUUUUCCUGGUCCGAGAGGAAUGGGUAACCUUUUGAAAGUGCAUCGUGCUAGGGAUAGACUAUUGCAAUUAUUGGUCUUCAACGAGGAAUUCCUAGUAGACGUAGUUCAUCAGACUGCAUCGAUUACGUCCCUGCCCUUUGUACACACCGCCCAUCGCUACUACCGAUUGGGAAAAUUUUAGAGAGUCCUGGACUGAUGAUUGUUCGGCUUCACGGCCUUACUUUCGUCGGGAAAGAAUUCGAUAAUAUUUUUCUAGAGGAAGUAAAAGUCGUAACA
Molecule: ribosomal RNA, 327 nt
Filed under: uncultured eukaryote
Lineage: Eukaryota
Description: partial 18S ribosomal RNA
Rfam family: Eukaryotic small subunit ribosomal RNA
Source: RNAcentral